GGAGAUGUGGCUCAGUGGUAGAGCACUGGCCUACAUGUUUCAGUCCCUGGGUUCAAUCCCCAGCAUUACAA
RNAcentral lists this transfer RNA (71 nucleotides) under Heterocephalus glaber (naked mole-rat). It matches the Rfam family "tRNA". From Rfam's summary of the family: Transfer RNA (tRNA) molecules are approximately 80 nucleotides in length. Their secondary structure includes four short double-helical elements and three loops (D, anti-codon, and T loops). The record is from Rfam by way of RNAcentral. Lineage: Eukaryota; Metazoa; Chordata; Mammalia; Rodentia; Bathyergidae.